Small nuclear RNA from Suncus etruscus (white-toothed pygmy shrew), 64 nucleotides. RefSeq annotates it as U7 small nuclear RNA. Lineage: Eukaryota; Metazoa; Chordata; Mammalia; Eulipotyphla; Soricidae. The transcript has a single exon. The record is from RefSeq and is a predicted model, not a curated record.
AAGUUUAAUAGCUCUUUUUAGAAUUUGUCUGGCAGGCUUUCCUGUUUGCUACCAGAAUACCCUC